RNAcentral lists this long non-coding RNA (1171 nucleotides) under Strigops habroptila (Kakapo). RNAcentral describes it as "lncRNA (ENSSHBG00005006423.1)". Lineage: Eukaryota; Metazoa; Chordata; Aves; Psittaciformes; Psittacidae. The record is from RNAcentral.
GCUGUUGCCAGAAGCAGUUUAUUCAAAAAGCCACCAAACAAAAGGAGUUUACAAGAAACUUCUGCAUCUUUUUUACUAACAGUGUUUGAACAACUACAUAAGCUCAGCGAAGAUGACCCAUCAUCAAUGGUCAGGUUGUAUGAGAGCAAUCCCAAGCUCAGGUCAUUCAAUAGUUAAGUGAGCCUGUUUCAAAAGCCCGUCCAAGAAAAUAAAAGGAAUCUCUCUGCUUUCUUGAAGCAGCUUUGGAAAAGACCCAGACUGUUUAAGUCACAAACUACUGACACAGGAACAACUAUUCAUGGUGAACCCUUUGUUGGUCAUCAGUAAAUCAUCAUUAAGGAAAGGUGAGAUUCCAACACUUUAAAAGGAAGCGAAGGGUUCUUGUCAUCCCUUUAUCACAUCUUUAAACGUAUGGAAAACUACUAAGAUUGUUUGCUUUUCCACCAAAAUCUCCAGUAAAAUCAGACAAUACAUGUAAAACCCAACAGCAACAAAACGGAAUUUAGUGUAUCUGAGGAAACUCAGUGCGUGCUUUAGAAAAUGAAGUCAUUUGAUAGUGUGACCUUGAUCCAACCAAACAGAACCCACUUCUAUUCAAAGGGGCACGCUUCUUUUAAGACAGAAAAGCUAAAAAGGAUCAAGCCUUAGUUCCUCGGGACAGAGCCCUUGUAAAAGGCACACCAGAUGAACCAAAGUAUCUCGCUCGAUUACAAAAGGUUUUAUUCUUACAGAUGACGCUCUUCAGUGUUUCAGUGCAGAAAACAGUUCCCCAAGGGUGCUUCUGAGCGAGACUCUCCUGUGACAUUUGCAGUGCCUGGGGGAACAACCACAGCAAAAAGAGCCCACACAUGCACAAAGCAGCUAACAGAUGCAGCUCGCUAGAUGGCAACCCCUGGUCUGGUAGGGAUGCCCUCGCCCCCCCGCAGCACAGGGAGCAGCUCCAAGCACUCCUCGGGAGCUCACACAAGUGCUUUGUGCGGGCUGUGUGGUGGAGAAAGCAGCCCCGAUCAACCCGGCUGGUGUUAGCUCCUUCCCAGCCUUAUCCAUCUUCCCACCGCAGGUGCUCCUCACAUACAUCCUCUGGCACAAACGCAGCGGUACUUCCAAGAACACUGAUGCUGAUUUUCCUUUACUUUUCCUCAGUGUAAGCUCCUAUAAACUGAAAAUCCCC